CUUGCUUCUUUGCUGACGAGUGGCGGACGGGUGAGUAAUGUCUGGGAAACUGCCUGAUGGAGGGGGAUAACUACUGGAAACGGUAGCUAAUACCGCAUAACGUCGCAAGACCAAAGAGGGGGACCUUCGGGCCUCUUGCCAUCGGAUGUGCCCAGAUGGGAUUAGCUAGUAGGUGGGGUAACGGCUCACCUAGGCGACGAUCCCUAGCUGGUCUGAGAGGAUGACCAGCCACACUGGAACUGAGACACGGUCCAGACUCCUACGGGAGGCAGCAGUGGGGAAUAUUGCACAAUGGGCGCAAGCCUGAUGCAGCCAUGCCGCGUGUAUGAAGAGGGCCUUAGGGUUGUAAAGUACUUUCAACGGGGAGGAAGGGAGUAAAGUUAAUACCUUUGCUCAUUGACGUUACCCGCAGAAGAAGCACCGGCUAACUCCGUGCCAGCAGCCGCGGUAAUACGGAGGGUGCAAGCGUUAAUCGGAAUUACUGGGCGUAAAGCGCACGCAGGCGGUUUGUUAAGUCAGAUGUGAAAUCCCCGGGCUCAACCUGGGAACUGCAUCUGAUACUGGCAAGCUUGAGUCUCGUAGAGGGGGGUAGAAUUCCAGGUGUAGCGGUGAAAUGCGUAGAGAUCUGGAGGAAUACCGGUGGCGAAGG
This 649-nucleotide ribosomal RNA is filed under the name uncultured Pseudomonadota bacterium. Its description in RNAcentral is "bacterial SSU rRNA". It matches the Rfam family "Bacterial small subunit ribosomal RNA", at positions 75 to 721 of the family's 1533-position model. The record is from RNAcentral. Lineage: Bacteria; Pseudomonadati; Pseudomonadota.